AGCAGCCGCGGUAAUUCCAGCUCCAAUAGCGUAUAUUAAAGUUGUUGCAGUUAAAAAGCUCGUAGUUGAAUUUCGGGGUCAGUAGGCUGGUCGUGCCACCGGUACGUACUGGUCUCACUGAUUCCUCCUUCCUGAAGAACCGUAAUGCCAUUAAUUUGGUGUUGCGGGGAAACAGGACUGUUACUUUGAAAAAAUUAGAGUAGUUUAAAGCAAGCUAACGCUUGAAUACAUUGGCAUGGAAUAAUGAAAUAGGACGAUCGAUCCUAUUUUGUUGGUUUCUAGGAUUAACGUAAUGAUUAAUAGGGAUAGUUGGGGGCAUUAGUAUUCAAUUGUCAGAGGUGAAAUUCUUGGAUUUAUUGAAGACUAACUACUGCGAAAGCAUUUGCCAAGGAUGUUUUCAUUAAUCAAGAACGAAAGUUAGGGGAUCGAAGACGAUCAGAUACCGUCGUAGUCUUAACCAUAAACUAUGCCGACUAGGGAUCGGAUGAUGUUAAUUUUAUAAUGACUCAUUCGGCGCCUUACGGGAAACCU
RNAcentral lists this ribosomal RNA (531 nucleotides) under uncultured fungus. RNAcentral's name for it is "SSU rRNA". It matches the Rfam family "Eukaryotic small subunit ribosomal RNA", at positions 569 to 1100 of the family's 1831-position model. Lineage: Eukaryota; Fungi. The record is from RNAcentral.